CCUACGGGUGGCAGCAGUGGGGAAUAUUGGACAAUGGGCGAAAGCCUGAUCCAGCCAUGCCGCGUGUGUGAAGAAGGCCUUCGGGUUGUAAAGCACUUUCAGUGGGGAAGAAAGCCUUGGGGCUAAUACCCUCGAGGAAGGACAUCACCCACAGAAGAAGCACCGGCUAACUCCGUGCCAGCAGCCGCGGUAAUACGGAGGGUGCGAGCGUUAAUCGGAAUUACUGGGCGUAAAGCGCGCGUAGGCGGUCUGAUAAGCCGGUUGUGAAAGCCCCGGGCUCAACCUGGGAACGGCAUCCGGAACUGUCAGGCUAGAGUGCAGGAGAGGAAGGUAGAAUUCCCGGUGUAGCGGUGAAAUGCGUAGAGAUCGGGAGGAAUACCGGUGGCGAAGGCGGCCUUCUGGACUGACACUGACGCUGAGGUGCGAAAGCGUGGGUAGCAAACAGGAUUAGAUACCCCGGUAGUC
Molecule: ribosomal RNA, 465 nt
Filed under: Vreelandella stevensii
Lineage: Bacteria; Pseudomonadati; Pseudomonadota; Gammaproteobacteria; Oceanospirillales; Halomonadaceae
Description: partial 16S ribosomal RNA
Rfam family: Bacterial small subunit ribosomal RNA
Source: RNAcentral